GACAAUGUGGUGUAGUGGUUUGAGCAUUAGACUACAGCUCUGAAGAUCAGGGUUCAAUCCCCUGUUUAGCCA
This 72-nucleotide transfer RNA is filed under the name Phrynosoma platyrhinos (Desert horned lizard). RNAcentral's name for it is "tRNA-OTHER". It matches the Rfam family "tRNA". From Rfam's summary of the family: Transfer RNA (tRNA) molecules are approximately 80 nucleotides in length. Their secondary structure includes four short double-helical elements and three loops (D, anti-codon, and T loops). Further hydrogen bonds mediate the characteristic L-shaped molecular structure. tRNAs have two regions of fundamental functional importance: the anti-codon, which is responsible for specific mRNA codon recognition, and the 3' end, to which the tRNAs corresponding amino acid is attached (by aminoacyl-tRNA synthetases). tRNAs cope with the degeneracy of the genetic code in two manners: having more than one tRNA (with a specific anti-codon) for a particular amino acid; and 'wobble' base-pairing, i.e. permitting non-standard base-pairing at the 3rd anti-codon position. Lineage: Eukaryota; Metazoa; Chordata; Lepidosauria; Squamata; Phrynosomatidae. The record is from RNAcentral.